This 922-nucleotide long non-coding RNA is filed under the name Homo sapiens (human). RNAcentral's name for it is "long non-coding RNA NONHSAT068349.2". Lineage: Eukaryota; Metazoa; Chordata; Mammalia; Primates; Hominidae. The record is from RNAcentral.
GGCAGUGUGUAAGACGCUCACGGGCGCGCGGACUAUCGGGCGGCUAGGCUCUCUGAGGAGGCUGCCACAGUGAAGCAACCGUGACAAGUGGUGCCCGACCAGGGACCUGAACGAGGAAGGUCUGCCAGAGCAGAGAAAGUGAAACUGAUCAGACGAACUACGAACCCCUGGACGGGAGAGUCUGCCGGCGGAGAAUAUAAGGUGUGUGUGACCAUGGAACGGGAGACCGGAGGGAUCCAUGGUAUUCAACCGUGGGCCUGUUACCUCCAGUACGAGCCAUGAGCCAGCGGAAUCUGAAUGCAAAGACAGAACAAGGGCCGACCGGAGUCACAAUGACAUCCAACCCCAUAACAUGGGGACAGAUCAAGAAAACGACACAAGAAGCUGAGAAACUACUGGAGCGCCAGGGUCAGGCAAAAACCCCUGACUCCAUGUUCUUGGCCAUGCUAGCUGUAGUGUCCUGUGCGUCUAUAGGAUCGGGUGAACCACCAACCGGCAAUUGAAAGCUGCACAGCCUGAAAUUACCUUUAUUCAAUUAAUGCAAAAACAAAAGGGGAGAUGUUGGAGGCCGAAGGAAUGAGGGUCGUGACCAACUCAGUAUACCACUGGAGGCUCUGUGAGCAAACAGCAAACUGUUCUCAUGAAAGCAGGAUGUUGGCGAACUGACAAACUCUGUCUGCCGCCAGAAGGAAUGCUGGGGGCAGUCAUGUCCCAGGUCCCGUGCUCCUUGAGGUUAUCCACAGGAACAUCCAGAACCUGUUGAACAAAGAAAGGAAUCAUGUGGGCCUGUGUUAAAUCAAAUAGCUGACCGACAGUUAUCCCUUCCUCCCUAUUCACUCUACCUAAUAAAUAUGAAGGGCUGUAAAAGCUCAGGUCCCUGUUCCCUAAUAUCAAGGAGCCCCCUGACCCCUUCUUUCAAACA